This 413-nucleotide ribosomal RNA is filed under the name uncultured bacterium. Its description in RNAcentral is "bacterial SSU rRNA". It matches the Rfam family "Bacterial small subunit ribosomal RNA", at positions 505 to 916 of the family's 1533-position model. The record is from RNAcentral.
GUGUCAGCAGCCGCGGUAAUACGUAGGUGGCAAGCGUUGUCCGGAUUUAUUGGGCGUAAAGCGAGCGCAGGCGGUUUUUUAAGUCUGAUGUGAAAGCCUUCGGCUCAACCGAAGAAGUGCAUCGGAAACUGGGAAACUUGAGUGCAGAAGAGGACAGUGGAACUCCAUGUGUAGCGGUGAAAUGCGUAGAUAUAUGGAAGAACACCAGUGGCGAAGGCGGCUGUCUGGUCUGUAACUGACGCUGAGGCUCGAAAGUAUGGGUAGCAAACAGGAUUAGAUACCCUGGUAGUCCAUACCGUAAACGAUGAAUGCUAAGUGUUGGAGGGUUUCCGCCCUUCAGUGCUGCAGCUAACGCAUUAAGCAUUCCGCCUGGGGAGUACGGCCGCAAGGCUGAAACUCAAAUGAAUUGACGG